Molecule: ribosomal RNA, 253 nt
Filed under: uncultured bacterium
Lineage: Bacteria
Description: partial 16S ribosomal RNA
Rfam family: Bacterial small subunit ribosomal RNA
Source: RNAcentral
UACGGAGGGUGCGAGCGUUAUUCGGAAUUACUGGGCGUAAAGCGCGUGCAGGCGGGAGAGUGGGUCUGAUGUGAAAGCCCGGGGCUUAACCCCGGAAGAGCAUUGGAAACUGUUCUUCUUGAGUUUCGGAGAGGAAGGGGGAAUUCCCGGUGUAGAGGUGAAAUUCGUAGAGAUCGGGAGGAACACCAGUGGCGAAGGCGCCCUUCUGGACGACAACUGACGCUGAGACGCGAAAGCGUGGGGAGCAAACAGG